RNAcentral lists this ribosomal RNA (274 nucleotides) under uncultured bacterium. RNAcentral's name for it is "partial 16S ribosomal RNA". It matches the Rfam family "Bacterial small subunit ribosomal RNA", at positions 523 to 796 of the family's 1533-position model. The record is from RNAcentral.
AUACGGAGGGGGCUAGCGUUGUUCAGAAUUACUGGGCGUAAAGCGCGCGUAGGCGGCGUAUCUAGUCAGAGGUGAAAGCCCUGGGCUCAACCCAGGAAUUGCCUUUGAUACUGGUAUGCUUGAGUCCGGGAGAGGGUAGUGGAAUUCCCAGUGUAGAGGUGAAAUUCGUAGAUAUUGGGAAGAACACCAGUUGCGAAGGCGGCUACCUGGCCCGGUACUGACGCUGAGGUGCGAAAGCGUGGGGAGCAAACAGGAUUAGAAACCCCGGUAGUCC